This 329-nucleotide ribosomal RNA is filed under the name uncultured eukaryote. Its description in RNAcentral is "partial 18S ribosomal RNA". It matches the Rfam family "Eukaryotic small subunit ribosomal RNA", at positions 1470 to 1796 of the family's 1831-position model. The record is from RNAcentral.
CCCUUAGAUGUUCUGGGCCGCACGCGCGCUACACUGGUGCAUUCAACGAGUCUAAAACCUGCUCUGAUAGGGGUGGGUAAUCUUUUGAAUGUGCAUCGUGAUUGGGAUAGAUGAUUGCAAUUUUUCAUCUUCAACGAGGAAUGCCUAGUAAACGCAAGUCAUCAGCUUGCAUUGAUUACGUCCCUGCCCUUUGUACACACCGCCCGUCGCUCCUACCGAUUGAAUGAUCCGAUGAAUAUCAUGGAUUGAGGAUGCAAGUAGGUUCGCCUAUCUUCAUCUUCGAGAAGUGAAGUAAAUCUUAUCAUUUAGAGGAAGGAGAAGUCGUAACG